AUGCUUCGCAGAUGAUGAUGAUGAUGCAUGAUGUAUCUGGUGGUUAUGUUGUGAAUGAAGGGGAUAUUAUUGCAGCUUAUCAGAAAAAUGGUUUCAUCAAAUUGUUGUUUUCAUCCAGAAAGCUAAUCCCUUUAAGUUUAAGGCUUCUAAGAAACACAAGCAGGACAAAGUAUUUGUUUGGGCCUGAGAAUUCGCUUAUAGGCAGAUGAAGAUCUUUACUUCCAUUUUGUUAAGUUGCUAUAUUUUCAAGCUGAACAAUGAAAACAAAACUGCAAAGCACAGAAUGACGCUUAAUCUUCACACAGAUGGUGAUACCGAGUUGAUCAUGAUUUAGCAGACACCCAUAUAUGUAGCAAA
Long non-coding RNA from Helianthus annuus (common sunflower), 357 nucleotides. RefSeq lists it as uncharacterized. The transcript has 2 exons. NCBI's taxonomy places the organism in Eukaryota, Viridiplantae, Streptophyta, Magnoliopsida, Asterales, Asteraceae. The record is from RefSeq and is a predicted model, not a curated record.